GGUAAGAUGGCUGAUUAAGGCGGUAGAUUGUAAAUCUAUUUAUGGGUUAAAACUCUCUUAUCA
This 63-nucleotide transfer RNA is filed under the name Pielomastax zhengi. Its description in RNAcentral is "tRNA-Tyr". It matches the Rfam family "tRNA". Rfam says of the family: Transfer RNA (tRNA) molecules are approximately 80 nucleotides in length. Lineage: Eukaryota; Metazoa; Arthropoda; Insecta; Orthoptera; Episactidae. The record is from RNAcentral.